CGUAUCACCCAAGACAACUUUGCGGAGUUGACGAUUGACGGAGCGAAGCGACGUCAAAGCGUUCAUUAAAGUCGAGUUGGCUUAGGGAUACGUUCGUUGGGUAGGGGAGCGUUCUGUAAGCCUGUGAAGGUGGCCUGUGAGGGUUGCUGGAGGUAUCAGAAGUGCGAAUGCUGACAUAAGUAACGAUAAAGCGGGUGAAAAGCCCGCUCGCCGGAAGACCAAGGGUUCCUGUCCAACGUUAAUCGGGGCAGGGUGAGUCGACCCCUAAGGCGAGGCCGAAAGGCGUAGUCGAUGGGAAACGGGUUAAUAUUCCCGUACUUGGUGUUACUGCGAAGGGGGGACGGAGAAGGCUAUGUUGGCCGGGCGACGGUUGUCCCGGUUUAAGCGUGUAGGUGUGUGUUCCAGGUAAAUCCGGUUCACUUUAACACUGAGGCGUGAUGACGAGGCACUACGGUGCUGAAGCAACAAAUGCCCUGCUUCCAGGAAAAGCCUCUAAGCAUCAGGUAACACGAAAUCGUACCCCAAACCGACACAGGUGGUCAGGUAGAGAAUACCAAGGCGCUUGAGAGAACUCGGGUGAAGGAACUAGGCAAAAUGGUGCCGUAACUUCGGGAGAAGGCACGCUGACACGUAGGUGAAGUGAUUUACUCAUGGAGCUGAAGUCAGUCGAAGAUACCAGCUGGCUGCAACUGUUUAUUAAAAACACAGCACUGUGCAAACACGAAAGUGGACGUAUACGGUGUGACGCCUGCCCGGUGCCGGAAGGUUAAUUGAUGGGGUCAGCGCAAGCGAAGCUCCUGAUCGAAGCCCCGGUAAACGGCGGCCGUAACUAUAACGGUCCUAAGGUAGCGAAAUUCCUUGUCGGGUAAGUUCCGACCUGCACGAAUGGCGUAAUGAUGGCCAGGCUGUCUCCACCCGAGACUCAGUGAAAUUGAACUCGCUGUGAAGAUGCAGUGUACCCGCGGCAAGACGGAAAGACCCCGUGAACCUUUACUAUAGCUUGACACUGAACAUUGAGCCUUGAUGUGUAGGAUAGGUGGGAGGCUUUGAAGUGUGGACGCCAGUCUGCAUGGAGCCGACCUUGAAAUACCACCCUUUAAUGUUU
Molecule: ribosomal RNA, 1105 nt
Filed under: Salmonella enterica
Lineage: Bacteria; Pseudomonadati; Pseudomonadota; Gammaproteobacteria; Enterobacterales; Enterobacteriaceae
Description: partial 23S ribosomal RNA
Rfam family: Bacterial large subunit ribosomal RNA
Source: RNAcentral